UAGGUUCUAUGGUGGUAUACCUGAG
RNAcentral lists this non-coding RNA (25 nucleotides) under Rattus norvegicus (Norway rat). Lineage: Eukaryota; Metazoa; Chordata; Mammalia; Rodentia; Muridae. The record is from RNAcentral.